AGCGAACGUUAGCGGCGCGCCUAACACAUGCAAGUCGCACGAGAAAGGGGGCCAACCCCCGGUACAGUGGCGCACGGGUGAGUAACACGUGGAUUACCUGCCCUGGAGUGGUGGAUAACCUGUCGAAAGACGGGCUAAUACAGCAUGAGACCCCGUGAUUUCGAUCAUGAGUCAAAGCGGCCUCUAUUCAUAAGCUCGCGCUCC
This 204-nucleotide ribosomal RNA is filed under the name uncultured bacterium. RNAcentral's name for it is "partial 16S ribosomal RNA". It matches the Rfam family "Bacterial small subunit ribosomal RNA", at positions 29 to 221 of the family's 1533-position model. The record is from RNAcentral.